GUGAAUCAUCGAAUUUUUGAACGCAAAUUGCACUCUCCUCGGAGAGUAUGCCUGUUUGAGGGUCAGCCUAUAAAAAUCGACAUCGUUGCUGUUUCGCGGUGGCGUUCGUCGGAAAUUGGGUCAUCUUAAAACCUUUGGUUUUAGUAAGCUUAAAAUUUUUUUUUGUUCCAUUCAACGUUCGUAUAUAAGAUUUUUUUACUGGUUUACGUUUUCGUUUUUUAUUGAA
Molecule: unclassified non-coding RNA, 226 nt
Filed under: Glomus sp.
Lineage: Eukaryota; Fungi; Glomeromycota; Glomeromycetes; Glomerales; Glomeraceae
Description: partial contains 5.8S ribosomal RNA and internal transcribed spacer 2
Rfam family: 5.8S ribosomal RNA (bases 1-65)
Source: RNAcentral